GUGUAGGGGUCUUCCACGACUUUUGGGCCGUAGCUAACGCAUUAAGCGCCCCGCCUGGGGAGUACGGCCGCAAGGCUAAAACUCAAAGGAAUUGACGGGGGCCCGCACAAGCGGCGGAGCAUGUGGAUUAAUUCGAUGCAACGCGAAGAACCUUACCUGGGCUUGACAUAUGCAGGAUCGGCGUAGAGAUACGUUUUCCCUUGUGGUCUGUAUACAGGUGGUGCAUGGUUGUCGUCAGCUCGUGUCGUGAGAUGUUGGGUUAAGUCCCGCAACGAGCGCAACCCUUGUCUUAUGUUGCCAGCACGUGAUGGUGGGGACUCAUGAGAGACUGCCGGGGUUAACUCGGAGGAAGGUGGGGAUGACGUCAAAUCAUCAUGCCCCUUAUGUCCAGGGCUUCACACAUGCUACAAUGGUCGGUACAACGCGCUGCGAGCCUGUGAGGGUGAGCGAAUCGCUGAAAGCCGGCCUCAGUUCGGAUUGGGGUCUGCAACUCGACCCCAUGAAGUCGGAGUCGCUAGUAAUCGCAGAUCA
Molecule: ribosomal RNA, 531 nt
Filed under: uncultured Corynebacterium sp.
Lineage: Bacteria; Bacillati; Actinomycetota; Actinomycetes; Mycobacteriales; Corynebacteriaceae
Description: bacterial SSU rRNA
Rfam family: Bacterial small subunit ribosomal RNA
Source: RNAcentral